RNAcentral lists this ribosomal RNA (255 nucleotides) under Listeria monocytogenes. RNAcentral's name for it is "partial 23S ribosomal RNA". It matches the Rfam family "Bacterial large subunit ribosomal RNA", at positions 264 to 513 of the family's 2925-position model. The record is from RNAcentral. Lineage: Bacteria; Bacillati; Bacillota; Bacilli; Caryophanales; Listeriaceae.
AGAGCCCAAACCAAGAAGCUUGCUUCUUGGGGUUGUAGGACACUCUAUACGGAGUUACAAAAGAAAGUUAUAAAUGAAGCGGUCUGGAAAGGCCCGCCAAAGACGGUAACAGCCCGGUAGUUGAAAUGGCUUUCCCUCCAGAGUGGAUCCUGAGUACGGCGGAACACGUGAAAUUCCGUCGGAAUCCGGGAGGACCAUCUCCCAAGGCUAAAUACUCCCUAGUGACCGAUAGUGAACCAGUACCGUGAGGGAAAG